UGAACGGCCCUUUUCAGGGCCACCCAACUGUACGGCUACCCCGCUAG
Molecule: non-coding RNA, 47 nt
Organism: Rhodnius prolixus
Lineage: Eukaryota; Metazoa; Arthropoda; Insecta; Hemiptera; Reduviidae
Source: Rfam